Long non-coding RNA from Pseudopipra pipra, 1393 nucleotides. RefSeq lists it as uncharacterized. Lineage: Eukaryota; Metazoa; Chordata; Aves; Passeriformes; Pipridae. The transcript is spliced from 3 exons. The record is from RefSeq and is a predicted model, not a curated record.
GGGACCAGUCAGAGUGCUGGGAGCAGGGCAGAGCUGCAUCCCGCUGCCCAGGCUGCAGAGCCUGGGAAGUUCUGUAUAAAAAGCUGGCUCUGGAUGUGUGCCAAGAGGUAGUAAACAAACUGGGAGCUCUGUUUUUCCUCUGGCUCUCCCUCCAGAGCCUGGUCUGUGUGUGCAGUGAGUGCCGGGCGGAUCGCUCACAUUCUAAAAGUGGCGAUUUUGGGGGAGCACCGAGGAGGGGCUGGAAUUACCCCUGCCUUCCAGAGUGCCAGGGGAGCAGCAGGAGGCUGCCUGCACUCUGGAUUCAGGCCAAAGAGGUUAAAUGACACGAGACCAAAGUUCAGAGCUGCCUUCAAAGCCCAUUCCGGUGCCGGAAGCGUGAAAGCAGAUCCCUGCGAUGGAUGAACAUGAAAAGCCAAACAUAUCGAUCACUGUGUGCAGCGCUGGCAGCCCAGCUGUGGUGGCAGCAGCCUUGCAGGCUGUGCUGCAGUCGCACAAUCACACACAAGGUGAGGAGGAGGAGGCAGAGGAGCCGGGACCGGGUGGGUUUUAUUCCCGGUGCUGUCCCCGUGGCUGUUCCCGGUGCCUGUGUCCGCCCCAGGGUGGACCUGCCCAGCAGCCUGUCUGGGUGUCUGCUGGGUGUCUGCAACCUGCUGCACCUCUGCCAGGCUGGGAGCAGUGUCCCUGCUGCAGGAAUCAUCAGGACCACGGAGCUGCCCUGCCCGAGGGGCCCAAACGCCUGUGGCCUCUGCUCCACGACCCCCAGAGCACGUGGUGUGCAAGUGGGAGCAGCUGAGCUGUGGUGCUGGGAAAACUCUGCAGCUGCCAGGGAAGAAAGAGCUGAGAAGGUGGAGCUGUCACCCACAGCUGGACACACUGGGGCACCUCAGGAGGACCUUGGUUGCUAAGUAUGAUCUAGAGCUGCCUUUGCCCUCUCUCAUGUCUGUCCCUGUAGAUUUUCUUACACACAAACACAAACAUUAAACUGAUAAAGCUGUUGCUUUACUCUUGUCUUUGCAGCAGCCCUGAGGGACCCUGGUGACACCAGAACCCCAUUCCCCAGUACUGGCCCAUGGGAUCUGGCUCUCCAGGAGGUGAAGGUUGGCCAAGGUGCCAGAGUUACCAGGAAAACAAAGAAGCUGUUCAGUGAUGAACCAACAUUAUCAUCUGCUCCACAGAAUGUCUGCUGCUGUCCCAGACUGGUGGAACACAAGGAGCCCAAUCCCACUUGGAAACUAUUUUCAAGGUCUGAGACUGAUAGUGAAAAAAAAAAAAUAAAUCAAAAUCACAUUUUUACCUGAAAACUCAGCACUCAUGGUGUGAAAUAAUCUGUCUGGAGUGAAUUUACUGCUCCUCAAGCUUUGUUCCUUCCCUGUGGUUGGGGGUACCUGUGGGU